UAAACUAGAGGACUCCAUUAAAGCACUCAAAAACAUGCACCAUUUUUACAGACAACGGAACCCACUAGAGACAGUGUCACCAAUCAACCAAAGAAACAACAAACUAGAUUUUUCUUGCAAGCCAAAAGCAAAUUUAGCAACCCAUUACACUUAAAUUGUACCCUCUUUUCUUCCAUCUCCUUCAUAACUAAUUGCUAGCUGUUUGACCAUCAUGAGAAGCACUGUAUGCUCAAUGCUUCGUGGACGCCCAUUUCGGCCUGAAAUGCCACCAGCGUAUGGAGUUACAAGUUUAAUAUCAACAGUAAAGAAAGUAAAAGGCUUGGUUUCUGAACAUGCUUUUAGAUUCAACUCG
This 352-nucleotide long non-coding RNA is filed under the name Citrus sinensis (sweet orange). RNAcentral's name for it is "long non-coding RNA (CSIN_LNC000811)". The record is from RNAcentral. Lineage: Eukaryota; Viridiplantae; Streptophyta; Magnoliopsida; Sapindales; Rutaceae.